GAGGGCUGCGAUCCCGUAAGGGGGAGCGAAUCCCAAAAAGUCGCGCUCAGUUCGGAUCGAGGUCUGCAACCCGACCUCGUGAAGUCGGAGUCGCUAGUAAUCGCAGAUCAGCAAUGCUGCGGUGAAUACGUUCCCGGGCCUUGUACACACCGCCCGUCACACCACGAAAGUGGGCAACACCCGAAGCCGGUGGCCUAACCCUUGUGGAGGGAGCCGUCGAAGGUGGGGCUCGCGAUUGGGGUGAAGUCGUAACAAGGUAGCCGUACCGGAAGGUGCGGCUGGAUCACCUCCUUUCUAAGGAGC
RNAcentral lists this ribosomal RNA (303 nucleotides) under Verrucomicrobiota bacterium. RNAcentral describes it as "Verrucomicrobia bacterium partial 16S ribosomal RNA". It matches the Rfam family "Bacterial small subunit ribosomal RNA", at positions 1242 to 1533 of the family's 1533-position model. Lineage: Bacteria; Pseudomonadati; Verrucomicrobiota. The record is from RNAcentral.